Molecule: ribosomal RNA, 702 nt
Filed under: Triticum aestivum (bread wheat)
Lineage: Eukaryota; Viridiplantae; Streptophyta; Magnoliopsida; Poales; Poaceae
Description: partial small subunit ribosomal RNA
Source: RNAcentral
AUGGAUCCUGUCGUGACCAGCAGUAGCAGCAGCAGGAGGAGAGGAGGCUACGGCUGCAAGGAGAGCUGCCAUGGCCACUGCCUACCUCCUCACUCUGCCAAAUGCCUCUGCCUCUACCUGCUGCUCUCGCUGAUCGUCCUCGUCCUCGUCGCGGCCGUGCUGCUCGUCGUCUUCGUCACGAGGCUCAAGAAGCCGACCUUCUACCCGCAGUCCGUGCAGAUGGACAGGUCGUUCAGCCUCAGACCGGCGUCUUCGAACCGCAGCGGCGACAACGCGACGUCGUCGUCCUCGUGCUUGGUGGCGUCGCUGCUGUUCGCGGCGCAGAACCUGAACGGGAUCGGGAUAAGGUACAGCGGGGCGGACCUCGGCGUGGCCCUGCCCCUACGCGACCGAGUCGGUCGGCGCCAUGGACGUGCCGGUGUUCUACCAGCCGCCGCGGAGCAGCAUCGUGAUGGUGCUCAUGCACGCCGUGUUCGAGGAGUCCAACGUCAGCCGGCUCGUCGUCAGCGAGCUGUCGGCGCAGAGGAAGCUCGUCGAGAUCAGGAUCGCCGGGAGCAUCGACGCCACCACGCACAUCAUGAAUUUCCCUCUGACAAAGCUAUUCAGUUUACGCUCGAUUGCAGGAUAGCAACUAACUACACCGACAUAGUGCUCCGGGAAGGGAUUGAGUCUGCAACUAUAUGCAAGGACUCAGAACAGUGA